RNAcentral lists this ribosomal RNA (266 nucleotides) under uncultured bacterium. RNAcentral's name for it is "partial 16S ribosomal RNA". It matches the Rfam family "Bacterial small subunit ribosomal RNA", at positions 333 to 591 of the family's 1533-position model. The record is from RNAcentral.
UGCUUCCUACGGGAGGCAGCAGUAGGGAAUCUUCCACAAUGGACGAAAGUCUGAUGGAGCAACGCCGCGUGAGUGAAGAAGGGUUUCGGCUCGUAAAGCUCUGAUGGUAGUGAAGAAAGAUAGAGGUAGUAACUGGCCUUUAUUUGACGGUAAUUACUUAGAAAGUCACGGCUAACUACGUGCCAGCAUCCGCGGUAAUAAGUAGGUGGCAAGCGGUGUCCGGAUUUAUUGGGCGUAAAGCGAGUGCAGGCGGGUCAAUAAGGUUG